UACGUAGGUGGCAAGCGUUGUCCGGAUUUACUGGGCGUAAAGAGCGCGCAGGCGGUCGUUCAAGUCGCGUGUGAAAGCCCCCGGCUCAACUGGGGAGGGUCACGCGAUACUGAUCGACUCGAAGGCAGGAGAGGGUAGUGGAAUUCCCGGUGUAGUGGUGAAAUGCGUAGAUAUCGGGAGGAACACCAGUGGCGAAGGCGGAUCUCUGGGCAGUUCCUGACACUGAGGCACGAAGGCCAGGGGAGCAAACGGG
RNAcentral lists this ribosomal RNA (253 nucleotides) under uncultured bacterium. RNAcentral's name for it is "partial 16S ribosomal RNA". It matches the Rfam family "Bacterial small subunit ribosomal RNA", at positions 524 to 776 of the family's 1533-position model. The record is from RNAcentral.